GUGGGUGUAGUUCAGCGGUAGAGCACCGGAUUGUGGUUCCGGCUGUCGCGGGUUCAAAUCCCGUCAUCCACCCCA
This 75-nucleotide transfer RNA is filed under the name Candidatus Cloacimonadota bacterium. RNAcentral's name for it is "tRNA-His". It matches the Rfam family "tRNA". From Rfam's summary of the family: Transfer RNA (tRNA) molecules are approximately 80 nucleotides in length. The record is from RNAcentral. Lineage: Bacteria; Pseudomonadati; Candidatus Cloacimonadota.